Molecule: unclassified non-coding RNA, 325 nt
Filed under: soil metagenome
Description: partial contains 5.8S ribosomal RNA, internal transcribed spacer 2, and large subunit ribosomal RNA
Rfam family: 5.8S ribosomal RNA (bases 1-120)
Source: RNAcentral
GAUGAAGAACGCAGCAAAAUGCGAUAAGUAGUGUGAAUUGCAGAAUUCAGUGAAUCAUCGAAUCUUUGAACGCACAUUGCGCCCUUUGGUAUUCCUUAGGGCAUGCCUGUUCGAGCGUCAUUUUCACCUUCAAGCACAGCUUGGUGUUGGGUGUCUGUCCUUAGGGACUCGCCUCAAAAGGAUUGGCAGCCACUCCAGCGGCUUUGAGCGCAGCAGAUUUGCGUCCUCUAGCAGUGGGAGAUGGCAUCCAUAAGCUUACUUUUUAUUUUGACCUCGGAUCAGGUAGGGAUACCCGCUGAACUUAAGCAUAUCAAUAAGCGGAGGA